AAAGUCGUAACAAGGUCUCCGUAGGUGAACCUGCGGAGGGAUCAUUCACAUGAUUACUUUUUAUUAACAAACUGUGAACUUUAUAUACUAUUCGUGUUGUAUUUGAUCAUUUAUGAUUUUUUAUAACAUUGUCAUUCGUUGAACAUAAGAUAGUUGGCUUGAAUUUUUAAAAUUCUUUCUCAGCUUUGAUUUGACUGAAAAUUAAACACUUUCUAUCAAUCAACCAUAAACAUAGAAACAACUCUAUGCCCUGGAUAUCUUGGUUCUC
This 268-nucleotide unclassified non-coding RNA is filed under the name Glomeromycotina sp. RNAcentral's name for it is "partial contains small subunit ribosomal RNA, internal transcribed spacer 1, and 5.8S ribosomal RNA". The stretch from base 1 to 47 matches the Rfam family "Eukaryotic small subunit ribosomal RNA", at positions 1785 to 1831 of the family's 1831-position model. The record is from RNAcentral. Lineage: Eukaryota; Fungi; Glomeromycota.